UCUCCUGGAAACGGGUGGUAAUGCCGGAUGCUCCAGUUGGAUGCAUGUCCUUCUGGGAAAGAUUCAUCGGUAUGGGAUGGGGUCGCGUCCUAUCAGCUUGAUGGCGGGGUAACGGCCCACCAUGGCUUCGACGGGUAGCCGGCCUGAGAGGGCGACCGGCCACAUUGGGACUGAGAUACGGCCCAGACUCCUACGGGAGGCAGCAGUGGGGAAUAUUGCACAAUGGGCGCAAGCCUGAUGCAGCGACGCCGCGUGCGGGAUGACGGCCUUCGGGUUGUAAACCGCUUUUGACUGGGAGCAAGCCCUUCGGGGUGAGUGUACCUUUCGAAUAAGCACCGGCUAACUACGUGCCAGCAGCCGCGGUAAUACGUAGGGUGCAAGCGUUAUCCGGAAUUAUUGGGCGUAAAGGGCUCGUAGGCGGUUCGUCGCGUCCGGUGUGAAAGUCCAUCGCUUAACGGUGGAUCCGCGCCGGGUACGGGCGGGCUUGAGUGCGGUAGGGGAGACUGGAAUUCCCGGUGUAACGGUGGAAUGUGUAGAUAUCGGGAAAGAACACCACC
Molecule: ribosomal RNA, 557 nt
Filed under: Bifidobacterium adolescentis
Lineage: Bacteria; Bacillati; Actinomycetota; Actinomycetes; Bifidobacteriales; Bifidobacteriaceae
Description: bacterial SSU rRNA
Rfam family: Bacterial small subunit ribosomal RNA
Source: RNAcentral